UUCUGUAGGGGUACCUGCGGAGGGAUCAUUACCGAGUUUACAACUCCCAAACCCCUGUGAACAUACCUAUAAUUUGCCUCGGCAGACUCAACGACGGUGCUCCGAGAAAUCGGGCGCCGCUCGCUGCCAGAGGAACCCCAAACUCUAUGUAUUCUUGUGGAUCUUCUGAGUAAAACAAAACAAAUAAAUCAAAACUUUCAACAACGGAUCUCUUGGUUCUGGCAUCGAUGAAGAACGCAGCGAAAUGCGAUAAGUAAUGUGAAUUGCAGAAUUCAGUGAAUCAUCGAAUCUUUGAACGCACAUUGCGCCCGCCAGUAUUCUGGCGGGCAUGCCUGUUCGAGCGUCAUUUCAACCCUCAAGCCCCUAGGGCUUGGUGUUGGGGAUCGGCGAUAGUCGCCGUCCCCCAAAUCUAGUGGCGGUCUCGCUGUAGCCUCCAUUGCGUAGUAGCUAACACCUCGCAACUGGAACGCGGCGCGGCCAAGCCGUUAAACCCCCCAACUUCUGAAUGUUGACCUCGGAUCAGGUAGGAAUACCCGCUGAACUUAAGCAUAUCAAUAAGACGGAGGAAA
RNAcentral lists this ribosomal RNA (569 nucleotides) under Fusarium decemcellulare. RNAcentral describes it as "eukaryotic LSU rRNA". The stretch from base 193 to 346 matches the Rfam family "5.8S ribosomal RNA". The record is from RNAcentral. Lineage: Eukaryota; Fungi; Ascomycota; Sordariomycetes; Hypocreales; Nectriaceae.